RNAcentral lists this ribosomal RNA (254 nucleotides) under uncultured bacterium. RNAcentral describes it as "partial 16S ribosomal RNA". It matches the Rfam family "Bacterial small subunit ribosomal RNA", at positions 524 to 776 of the family's 1533-position model. The record is from RNAcentral.
UACGUAGGGGACAAGCGUUGUCCGGAAUUAUUGGGCGUAAAGCGCGUGUAGGCGGUUGUUUAAGUUUGGUGUGAAAUCUCCCGGCUCAACUGGGAGGGUGCGCCGAAUACUGAAUGACUUCGAGUGCGGGAGAGGUGAGUGGAAUUCCUGGUGUAGCGGUGAAAUGCGUAGAUAUCAGGAGGAACACCGGUGGUGUAGACGGCUCACUGGACCGUAACUGACGCUGAGACACGAAAGCGUGGGUAGCAAACAGG